Small nuclear RNA from Myotis daubentonii (Daubenton's bat), 103 nucleotides. The record is from RefSeq and is a predicted model, not a curated record. NCBI's taxonomy places the organism in Eukaryota, Metazoa, Chordata, Mammalia, Chiroptera, Vespertilionidae.
AUGCUCGCUCUGGCAGCACAUACACUAAACUGGAACAAGACAGGGAUUAGCAUGGCCCCUGCACAAAGAUGACACGCAAAUUCGUGAAGCGUUCCGUAAUUUA